This 437-nucleotide ribosomal RNA is filed under the name Wolbachia pipientis. RNAcentral describes it as "bacterial SSU rRNA". It matches the Rfam family "Bacterial small subunit ribosomal RNA", at positions 992 to 1428 of the family's 1533-position model. The record is from RNAcentral. Lineage: Bacteria; Pseudomonadati; Pseudomonadota; Alphaproteobacteria; Rickettsiales; Anaplasmataceae.
CAUACCUAUUCGAAGGGAUAGGGUCGGUUUGGCCGGAUUUCACACAGGUGUUGCAUGGCUGUCGUCAGCUCGCGUCGUGAGAUGUUGGGUUAAGUCCCGCAACGAGCGCAACCCUCAUCCUUAGUUACCAUCAGGUUAUGCUGGGGACUUUAAGGAAACUGCCAGUGACAAACUGGAGGAAGGUGGGGAUGAUGUCAAGUCAUCAUGGCCCUUAUGGAGUGGGCUACACACGUGCUACAAUGGUGAUUACAAUGGGCUGCAAGGUCGCAAGGCUGAGCUAAUCCUAAAAAAUCAUCUCAGUUCGGAUUGUUCUCUGCAACCCGAGAGCAUGAAGUUGGAAUUGCUAGUAAUCGUGGAUCAGCAUGCCACGGUGAAUACGUUCUCGGGUCUUGUACACACUGCCCGUCACGCCAUGGGAAUUGGUUUCACUCGAAGCU